UAGUUGGAUUUGGGUCGACCGGGCCGCCGGGCCGCCGCCUCCGUGUGGCGAGUUCCCGUGUGUCCCCGGGACCGCACGUUCACCCCCGCAGUGCUCUUAACUGAGUGUCUGCGGUAGCGGGUGACCGAACGUUUACCUUGACAAAACCGGAGUGCUCGAGGCGUGGGCGUUCGCCGCCCGUACGUCCUCGCUGGGAAUAAUGGAAGAGGACCGUUGGUCAAAAAAGGUUUUUUGUCAGAGAGGUGGGAGAGCAAAAAAGAGGUUGUGCUGGCGGGGGGUUACAAAGGGGGGAGACUCCCUUUCCCCCUCUGGUCUUCCUCUUUCUCCUCCUCGAAACCUUCCUCCCCGCGUACGGCAUUGCGGAUCGGCUGGCGCUUUAUGGCGGAAAGGGUGGUUUGAGAAAGAAGGGUGAAAGCAGGUGGCUGCCGGAAGGUGAAAACUUGACGGCCGGUCGUUUGUGGAAGCCUGGAAUCUUAUUCCCCCUCGCUGUCGUGGUGCUUCCGUACCCUCUGUGUCAGCGGGAGGAGGUCGAAAAUCAAAAUAAAAAAACGUGUCAUGAUUAAGAGGGACGGCCGGGGGCAUUCGUACCGCGGCGCGAGAGGUGAAAUUCUAGGACCGUCGCGAGACGAACGAUAGCGAAAGCAUUUGCCAAGAAUGUUUUCCUUAAUCAAGAACGAAAGUCGGAGGUUCGAAGGCGAUCAGAUACCGCCCUAGUUCCGACCUUAAACCAUGCCGUCCGACCGCCCGCCAGGGUUACUACCGCGACUCGGCGGGCGGUGACUUUCCACCGGGAAACCCUUAAGCUUUCGGGUUCCGGGGGAAGUACGGUCGCAAAGCUGAAACUUAAAGGAAUUGACGGAAGGGCACCACCAGGAGUGGAGCCUGCGGCUUAAUUUGACUCAACACGGGGAACCUCACCCGGCCCGGACACCGCGAGGAUUGACAGAUCGAUAGCUCUUUCUCGAUCCGGUGGGUGGUGGUGCAUGGCCGUUCUUAGUUGGUGGAGCGAUCUGUCUGGUUAAUUCCGAUAACGAACGAGACUCUAGCCGGUUAAGUAGCCCGAGUGGCGUGUUGUUGAUUAAAAACCGCCCUAGCGGCUUUCGGGGUGCUUCUUGGAAGCUGUCUGGCUUUAACGCCGGUGGGACGGGGAUGUGGAAGAUGACGGUCGGAUCCGCGUGCGUCGCGGCUCGGAUCUAGUUUUUUAACUUCCCCUUAAUCCUGUCGCGUUUCGGCCUUUCACUUCUUUGGGCCUCUGUUUGCCUAACUGGGGUAGAUAAAACGUUAACGAGAGUCGGGGGCAGUGGGCUUUACU
Molecule: ribosomal RNA, 1312 nt
Filed under: Epiperipatus ohausi
Lineage: Eukaryota; Metazoa; Onychophora; Udeonychophora; Euonychophora; Peripatidae
Description: partial small subunit ribosomal RNA
Rfam family: Eukaryotic small subunit ribosomal RNA
Source: RNAcentral